Molecule: long non-coding RNA, 2982 nt
Organism: Lynx canadensis (Canada lynx)
Lineage: Eukaryota; Metazoa; Chordata; Mammalia; Carnivora; Felidae
Exons: 5
Source: RefSeq, a predicted model, not a curated record
CUGACUGAAAAAAAAAAUAUGUAGAAUAGGAACAGAAAAGUGGGAAGGAAAAAGAAAGUUUUCACUCCCCCAUUCCACCAUUUCAUGGUCAAGACACAUUUCCCCAUGGUGAUCAUGAGAUUUAAGGGAAGUGAAAGUAGCUUCUUAUUGUAAAGAGACUGAGAAUUCCUAUUCUGGAUUCUCAAAACAACCAUGAAAGAUACGCUGGACAGAAUUUACUCUCCCAUUUGUCAGCUAAAGGCACCGAGUCUCUGAAAAGUUAAGAGACUUGUCCGUGGUAUCUUAGCUGAUGUGGUUUGAGAAUAAGUGCCACUAAGAGGAUAUUUAUUAGGGAAAAGAACCCGCACGUCUUAGAAUAGGGUCAUUUCUGGUCACUGGGAAAUGAUUCCAUUCGAGUCCAGGUUGCCAGGGAAGAAUGAACAUGUAGCCCAUGUGAGGACGGGACAGGCUCACAUGAGAAAAUAGGGGCCUUGUGAUGCUUCCCGGAGAUUCUAUCUGGCCUGAACUGGUAAGAAGUUGGUCUGGGUUGAAGGCACUAGACAGAUCAUCAAAUUAAACUCUAUCACGUGUCAACUCAUCAUGGUCCUCAUGGCCUCCUAGUCUGGAAACACCUCUGGCUGCAGGGAUGACCUCAGUGGAGACUCACAAGAUGGACUGAGGCACCUUCUUCAAGGUGCUCCCAGCCAGUACCCAGAGGGGUCUUGGCAGAGGCCAAUGGGCUUCCUGCAGCUGGUGCCGGCAUCACCCUCCUUUCCUGAGGGCAAGUCUGUGUAGAACUUCAUUACUAGACAGAAACAUUUGCCUUGGCGCCUUCACUCCACUGGACCGCCAUCCCCUCUGAGAUUUCUUAAGAGGAAACGUGGGCCCACUAGACAUUGCUCCACUGAGCUCUCUCUAAUCUUGCACUGGGUCAGGAGCUUUGCACAAGGAAGGGAAAUUAAGACUGUGUGUACACACUGAUCCUAACUGUGAAGGAAGCAGUCAUCUAGGACCAUCCUGCUGGACCUAAUAGUGCAAAACAGUGGGUGAGGGGAAAACCAGGCCGUCUGGAGAAUGUCUUGAAUGAUGGGAUCCCUGGUGAUGGGAUGGACCAGCAAGCUCCAGAAUAACAACAGGUACUAUCUUGGAAGCCACUUGAUUUCGAAACAAAGGCAGGUGUGGGCUCACUAAUUCUGAGACAUUUACAGACAUUUUUGCAUGUCUGAUCCCCCAAGAUUGAGGCUGUCGAAACAUAGCACUGUCAACAGGUGGAACUGAGUCUCAGUGAUUCACAAGUCAGAGUGGCCGUGGCCUGCUCUAGUCCAGUGCAUAAGACUUGCAGUGUUGCUUGAGAGACAUGUCCCAAGGCCUCCUUAGAACCACACAGUAUAAUACACCAGUGGAAUUGCACUUCCAGCUUGAAAACUGGUACUAAUAGGUCACCAGGAAAUGGCACGAUCUUCAAGAAAAGAAAAAUUUUCCUGAUGAAUAUUUCCUCUCUCCCCAACAUCUUUGAGGUGAAAGGAUUGAGAACUAACUAGAUCUUUUAACUCAGAGCAACAUACAUCAUGGAAGGUGUUAAGAACAGAGGAUAUCGUUAAAAUUGCUGUUUGGGGUUUGCUGUCAUCACUCUCUGCUCCCACCAGGCAUUAAGCCCCUUGUCUUAGUUCUUUUCCAUGAGGAGGCCGUAUGGCCUCCGUCCCUGCGGUGGAGCCAUGAGAGCAAUAAGGGCCGAAGCCUCCUCGACAUCUCUGAGGACUACAGCUCAGGUGUCCCUUCUGAGAUGUUUGUGAGCAGGGUCUAGAGCAGAGAGAGACAGAAUGGAUGGAAACUCCUCUCUUCCCUCAAAGAUGACAAGAGGCAAGAGAUCCGACUAAAGAGAAGAAGGUCCUACAGCAAGUUGCUGACCCAGCUUAUAGCACAGCUGCCCUCUUCCACAGAAUGAGAAGAAGCAACCUUUUGUGCCUCUGUGUACCAUCACCCUCAACGCUCGAAAACAAGACCUUCCUGUCUUGGAAAAGUCUGGCAACUGUCCCAUAGAGGCUGCUGUGGAAGAGAGCCAUUCCACAUGCCAGGAUGGUGUGAGGGAUGAAACCCUGCCUGGGAAACAAGCGCAACAUGGGGAGUAGGCUACAGUCCUGUCUCAGCCACGUGGCCUUGGGCAUGUCCUUUAGCCUUCUGGGGCCUCUCUUUCUCUGUCUACCAAACAAGGGGGCUCUAAAGACUUUCCCUCUUCAAUGAUCUUGCCUUUACCUGGGGUAAAUGCUGCGGCCAAAGGAGAGGGGGCAGGGUCCUUGUUCUUAUGGGUCUCCCACCAGGCCCAAGGUUUCCCCCAGCCCUGCUACCCUGAAGGGCUACUCCUGGCCGCUUCAAGAAUCUUCUCUUCCCUCUUAAGGAUUUAUCAGGCUCAGAAAUCAGCAGAUUUGGGGGACCAAUAUGAAAAAAACUCUAUGAGGAAACUCUUUAAUAAGCCCUCCACCUUUACACACACGCGCGCGCGCGCACACACACACACACACACACACACACACAAACACACAUACUUGAUCCCUGAAGUGUAAACAUCUUCCCUUCUGUGUAUCAGACCUAUCUUCCCCUUUCUCAUCGCCAGUAUGUUGGGAGAAAACUCAUUCCCACCAGUGGAAAAGCGCCACUUCCUCUUAGAGAACUUAGCUAAACCUCAGUGUUUGGGGGUGACCCUGGGCAUAGGUUGAAGCAGAAGGUCCUAACGCACCUCAACCACGGCCCAUAAAUGCAGACUCUACCAGCCGAGACUGAGGCAGUAACUAGGUAACACAGUGCCGGGUCCAGAUCCUUUGCUCGUGGUCCAUCCACCUCCACAGCCUCCUCCACCCAUAGAUAUACUGUUCGUAGUGGUGGCCGCCUGCUCGAGCCUGCCUGUCUGCCUGCAUUGAGUGCCGUACAUUGUUCUGUAAUGUACCGUGUAUAUGUGUGUCCUCACUCUGUGGUUUACUACAAAUAAAAGUGACAGCGGGUAGCUGA